RNAcentral lists this ribosomal RNA (253 nucleotides) under uncultured bacterium. RNAcentral describes it as "partial 16S ribosomal RNA". It matches the Rfam family "Bacterial small subunit ribosomal RNA", at positions 524 to 776 of the family's 1533-position model. The record is from RNAcentral.
UACGUAGGGGGCAAGCGUUGUCCGGAUUUACUAGGCGUAAAGAGCGUGUAGGCGGCCAGGCAGGUCUGUUGUGAAAACUGGAGGCUCAACUUCCAGACGUCGACAGAAACCGCUUGGCUAGAGUCCGGAAGAGGAGAGUGGAAUUCCUGGUGUAGCGGUGAAAUGCGCAGAUAUCAGGAAGAACACCGAUGGCGAAGGCAGCUCUCUGGGACGGUACUGACGCUGAGACGCGAAAGCGUGGGGAGCGAACAGG